UACGUAGGGUGCGAGCGUUAAUCGGAAUUACUGGGCGUAAAGCGUGCGCAGGCGGUUUUGUAAGCCAGAUGUGAAAUCCCCGAGCUUAACUUGGGAACUGCAUUUGGGACUGCAAGGCUAGAGUACGGCAGAGGGGGGUAGAAUUCCUGGUGUAGCAGUGAAAUGCGUAGAUAUCAGGAGGAAUACCGAUGGCGAAGGCAGCCCCCUGGGAUAACACUGACGCUCAUGCACGAAAGCGUGGGGAGCAAACAGG
Molecule: ribosomal RNA, 253 nt
Filed under: uncultured bacterium
Lineage: Bacteria
Description: partial 16S ribosomal RNA
Rfam family: Bacterial small subunit ribosomal RNA
Source: RNAcentral